This 433-nucleotide ribosomal RNA is filed under the name uncultured bacterium. RNAcentral's name for it is "partial 16S ribosomal RNA". It matches the Rfam family "Bacterial small subunit ribosomal RNA", at positions 29 to 507 of the family's 1533-position model. The record is from RNAcentral.
AGCGAACGCUGGCGGCAGGCCUAACACAUGCAAGUCGAACGAACUCUUCGGAGUUAGUGGCGGACGGGUGAGUAACACGUGGGAACGUGCCUUUAGGUUCGGAAUAACUCAGGGAAACUUGUGCUAAUACCGAAUGUGCCCUUCGGGGGAAAGAUUUAUCGCCUUUAGAGCGGCCCGCGUCUGAUUAGCUAGUUGGUGAGGUAAAGGCUCACCAAGGCGACGAUCAGUAGCUGGUCUGAGAGGAUGAUCAGCCACAUUGGGACUGAGACACGGCCCAAACUCCUACGGGAGGCAGCAGUGGGGAAUCUCGCGCAAUGGGCGAAAGCCUGACGCAGCCAUGCCGCGUGAAUGAUGAAGGUCUUAGGAUUGUAAAAUUCUUUCACCGGGGACGAUAAUGACGGUACCCGGAGAAGAAGCCCCGGCUAACUUCGUG